RNAcentral lists this long non-coding RNA (471 nucleotides) under Numida meleagris (helmeted guineafowl). Its description in RNAcentral is "lncRNA (ENSNMEG00000000237.1)". Lineage: Eukaryota; Metazoa; Chordata; Aves; Galliformes; Numididae. The record is from RNAcentral.
GCCUCAUCUCUGCUACUGUCAGAAGCUGCACAGCUGGUUCUUAGCAAAGAAAAGACACACUACACUACCUUGCUGCUGUGCACAGAAAGAGGUUAACUUUACGUCUGUCUGCACUUCUGUAUCUGUGUGCUUGCUGUUGAACUGGAUGGCUGUUGUGAGCUAGAGAGCUAGCAGCCUCAAUCCAAACUGAUCAAGACUAAUGAUGUCCAUCAGCCAUCUCCAUCUCUGUGAAGAACUAUAAAACAACAGCCAGGAAAGUGCUGAGCCCACAGUUUCCAUAACUGACUUUCACAAAAUGAUCUCUGCUGUUCUGCCAGUUCCAAAGCUGGAGUUCCUCAUACCAAGUCACUCUACACGCAGUGCCAAAACAGGCAGACUCUAUGGGAAGGGAAACUCUUAAGUCUGAGAGAGGCACUAAAUCCAGUAUUGGUUGUGGCACUGCUGAAGCUAAUUAUGGCUGGUAAGUAUGAA